GGGUGUGUGUGUAUGGGUGUGUGUGUGUGUGUGAGAGAGAGAGAGAGAGAGAGAAUCAGCUCCAAAAGCUCUGUUUAUUGCCAGAGAGUCCACCUGCUUCCCCCAAGUCCAAGUCCAGCUUCUAGGAAAAGGACCCAGAGGUUCAGCAAGGCUGCGCUCUGCUCCAGCAAGGAGUUGGGGUUUUCCACUCGGACUCUGUUGACGUCUUCCACGCUGAACUGCAGCUCCCGGGCCAACUCUGCAAGCAAAGGGCCAGAGCCAAGGAGACGAUGAGAAUGAGCCUCUCAGCAAGGUCACAGAGCUGUGAGUCUGGCCAGGAGGGCGCUGAGCCCGCCGGUUCCCAUCCCAGUGCUGCUUGCACCAACCCAGGACGCCACUCACAUGCCUCCCAGGACCAGUUACAACAGAAAAGCAUCUCUGUACCUAUGUUUCUUCGGGGACAGGCACUGUUGACAUUUAAAAUGAAAAUCGCGUUCUUCUCAUCUGAACGCAAGGCACUAUCAUAGUAGCUUUCCCUAUUAUUUUUAUUGUUAUUUCUUGCAAGUGCUUUAGAAGGGAAAACAGCAGUAGAGUCUAAUUUCAAAGAUGGAGACCAGGGAGAAAGUGAUAAUGAGCGUCAGAAGAUGCAGAUCCAACAGGCACGUGCACAUACAUGCACACUCACACUUGCCUACACACACACUCCUCCACACACACACACACACACCUGCAUAUGCUCACACGUGCAUACACACAUCCCACAUCCGUGCACACUUCCACACGCACACACACACAGCUAGCAGUCCCUGAACUUCUGAGCCCACCCCACUGCCCUGCGGUACGUGGCUGCUAAGGGUUUCUGACCCCUCAUGUAGAUGCUAACAAAAGAAAGAGAAGGGGGAGGAAGAGGAGCAUUCCCUGUGUACAGCACGCUGCUCAGGAGCUCUCACUGCCUUUCUCCCCCUCACUUCAUCAAAGAGCCACCCCUGAGCCCGCAGGGCUUCUGAGACUUCAGCCACAGCAGAGCUUUCAAGUGCAACAAGCCAAGACGCCCUGCCCUUCCCUCCUCUUCCUCCACAGAACACAACGUGCAGAGGGAGGUU
Nycticebus coucang (slow loris) is the source of this 1082-nucleotide long non-coding RNA. RefSeq lists it as uncharacterized. Lineage: Eukaryota; Metazoa; Chordata; Mammalia; Primates; Lorisidae. The transcript is spliced from 3 exons. The record is from RefSeq and is a predicted model, not a curated record.